RNAcentral lists this ribosomal RNA (513 nucleotides) under uncultured bacterium. Its description in RNAcentral is "partial 16S ribosomal RNA". It matches the Rfam family "Bacterial small subunit ribosomal RNA", at positions 28 to 523 of the family's 1533-position model. The record is from RNAcentral.
GAUGAGCGCUGGCGGCGUGCCUAAUACAUGCAAGUCGAGCGAACGGAUAAGGAGCUUGCUCCUUUGAAGUUAGCGGCGGACGGGUGAGUAACACGUGGGUAACCUACCUAUAAGACUGGAAUAACUUCGGGAAACCGGAGCUAAUGCCGGAUAACAUUUGGAACUGCAUGGUUCUAAAGUAAAAGAUGGUUUUGCUAUCACUUAUAGAUGGACCCGCGCCGUAUUAGCUAGUUGGUAAGGUAACGGCGUACCAAGGCAACGAUACGUAGCCGACCUGGGAGGUUGAUCGGCCACACUGGAACUGAGACACGGUCCAGACUCCGACGGGAGGCAGCAGUAGGGAAUCUUCCGCAAUGGACGAAAGUCUGACGGAGCAACGCCGCGUGAGUGAUGAAGGUUUUCGGAUCGUAAAACUCUGUUAUUAGGGAAGAACAAAUGUGUAAGUAACUGUGCACAUCUUGACGGUACCUAAUCAGAAAGCCACGGCUAACUACGUGCCAGCCGCCGCCGUAA